UACGUAGGCAGCAAGCGUUGUUCGGAUUCAUUGGGCGUAAAGGGUGUGUAGGUGGCGCGCUAAGUCGGGUGUGAAAUUUCGGAGCUUAACUCCGAAACUGCAUUCGAUACUGGCGUGCUUGAGGACUGGAGAGGAGACUGGAAUUCAUGGUGUAGCAGUGAAAUGCGUAGAGAUCAUGAGGAAGACCAGUGGCGAAGGCGGGUCUCUGGACAGUUCCUGACACUGAGACACGAAGGCCAGGGGAGCAAACGGG
This 253-nucleotide ribosomal RNA is filed under the name uncultured bacterium. RNAcentral describes it as "partial 16S ribosomal RNA". It matches the Rfam family "Bacterial small subunit ribosomal RNA", at positions 524 to 776 of the family's 1533-position model. The record is from RNAcentral.